Molecule: ribosomal RNA, 495 nt
Filed under: uncultured bacterium
Lineage: Bacteria
Description: bacterial SSU rRNA
Rfam family: Bacterial small subunit ribosomal RNA
Source: RNAcentral
UCCUGGCUCAGAUUGAACGCUGGCGGCAUGCUUUACACAUGCAAGUCGAACGGCAGCGCGGGGAGCUUGCUCCCUGGCGGCGAGUGGCGCACGGGUGAGUAAUACAUCGGAACGUGUCUUCUAGUGGGGGAUAACUGCCCGAAAGGGCAGCUAAUACCGCAUGAGACCUGAGGGUGAAAGCGGGGGAUCGCAAGACCUCGCGCUGGAAGAGCGGCCGAUGUCCGAUUAGCUAGUUGGUGAGGUAAAGGCUCACCAAGGCGACGAUCGGUAGCUGGUCUGAGAGGACGACCAGCCACACUGGGACUGAGACACGGCCCAGACUCCUACGGGAGGCAGCAGUGGGGAAUUUUGGACAAUGGGGGCAACCCUGAUCCAGCCAUGCCGCGUGCAGGAUGAAGGUCUUCGGAUUGUAAACUGCUUUUGUCAGGGACGAAAAGGGAUGCGAUAACACCGCAUUCCGCUGACGGUACCUGAAGAAUAAGCACCGGCUACUCU